RNAcentral lists this ribosomal RNA (301 nucleotides) under uncultured bacterium. Its description in RNAcentral is "partial 16S ribosomal RNA". It matches the Rfam family "Bacterial small subunit ribosomal RNA", at positions 509 to 807 of the family's 1533-position model. The record is from RNAcentral.
CAGUCGCCGCGGUAAUACGGAGGGUGCGAGCGUUAAUCGGAAUAACUGGGCGUAAAGGGCACGCAGGCGGUGACUUAAGUGAGGUGUGAAAGCCCCGGGCUUAACCUGGGAAUUGUAUUUCAUACUGGGUCGCUAGAGCACUUUAGGGAGGGGUAGAAUUCCACGUGUAGCGGUGAAAUGCGUAGAGAUGUGGAGGAAUACCGAAGGCGAAGGCAGCCCCUUGGGAAUGUACUGACGCUCAUGUGCGAAAGCGUGGGGAGCAAACAGGAUUAGAUACCCCGGUAGUCCCUGUCUCUUAUAC